CGAAAUCAAGGAGUUGAUGGUGAUGCGGGAACACGAUUUAGACAGGUUCGGACCGCUAGAUCGCGUAAUACCCUACGUCCGGUGUAUUGUAUCCUUGUAUUCGAUUGAACUUGUCUUGAGGGGGCCCCUGCCCACCCUUAUAUAUCGGGGGAGUAGGGUUACAGGGUAGUCUUUGAUAUAAGAGCACUAGUCGGAUACGACUACAAAGUCCUACUCUAACUCGACAGAGUAGUUUCCUUUAUUCCAACUAGUCCUUCAGGAGUUCCAAGUAGUCUACGUUGCCCUAUAGCGUAGUCUUCAUAUCCUGAUAUGUCUCGAGUACGUCCCCUUGAGUGGGUCCGUAUAGAUCUUUUGGUGAGCCCGGGGAUGUAUGGUCGACAAGCGCCCAAGUACUUUGUAGUCAAAUGAAACAGUUUCGACUACUCAGCAGACGUUGCUCGAUUAGUCUUUGGUGCUCGUUGAGUACUUCUGUCGUGGCUAGUCUUCGAGUACCUAAAUACUGUCAUGCGGCUGGAAGGUACUCCUGCCCCAUUCUAACAUUGGUUUUGAUUAGUUUUAAGUCUUUAUAUGGAAGUGCGAUGAAAAUUGCACUCCAUAUAGAGUAGCCCCCGAGCCUUAGGUUGAAUCAUAGAAUCAGGCUGAG
This 643-nucleotide long non-coding RNA is filed under the name Setaria viridis. RNAcentral describes it as "long non-coding RNA (SVIR_LNC005752)". The record is from RNAcentral. Lineage: Eukaryota; Viridiplantae; Streptophyta; Magnoliopsida; Poales; Poaceae.